ACCAAUUUCAAAAAUUCUUGUGUUUGCGUUCCCUGGCAAGAAUUCUCCGUUCGUAAGCUGGUCUCUUCCCAUCUCACAUGGCGUCUCACGGAUCACACUUGGCUUCGCUCGGCAAGGAAAGUGUUUAUCUUCUUCCGAUAUGUCUUAGUAGCUCCGGCCAACCGUCUUCUCGCCCGGGCUGCUUCGACACGAGGACCACCAAAGGAGGCGUCCACGAAGGCACCUUCAGCCAGGUGAGUUCAAGCACCGCAGACCGCCUCUUUCGGCUGGCCACCCCCCUGCUGGCCACUCUUCUUUUCGCCUACACCACCUAUUUGUCGAUGGAAAUGGAAGGCGACCCUCUCACUGUAUCUUUUUCUCUUGCGCUCUACUGUGUGUUUUUGCUCUCCACAGCUUCCAUCCUCUACGCUCAUUCCCUACGAAAUGAAGGAUCACAGGAGAAGAGGAAAAAGGGCUUGUACAUAGUGAUCUCUCUCUUUUGUGUCAUCGGCCUUGCUUUCUUCACACGCGUCUAUGUCAUUCUCCCUCGACCGGCUUACUGCCUUCUCAUGUUACCUUGGUUGCUGCCAAUAUCUGCCAUCCUUGCGUUCUACUUCAUCCGCCUUCGAAUCCUCUCAUCUGCCCGUGUAGUUGCAACGGCGGCUUACUAGGUGAUUUGAGUUUCCGAGUUCAUGUACCCUGCUCUGUUUCACCUCGUUCCUCUCCUUCAGGCUUGUUCCGUGCCGUCCCUCUGCCUUCACAGCCUUCGCAAACCGUAUUCUGUGGUUCUUACUGCGUCCUAUCGUAAUAAAUUGUUAAAAUUAGUUGUCAUAUUGAUGUUGUACAAAGCUUUAUUGUGUUUCUGAUAAAUAAUGUAUGGUUGUAUUUAGAUGUAUUGGAUCUACCAUUGUCAAUUGGAUUAGAAAUGGGAUCUUAACUUCA
This is a long non-coding RNA of Nymphaea colorata (pocket water lily), 921 nucleotides long. RefSeq lists it as uncharacterized. NCBI's taxonomy places the organism in Eukaryota, Viridiplantae, Streptophyta, Magnoliopsida, Nymphaeales, Nymphaeaceae. The record is from RefSeq and is a predicted model, not a curated record. The transcript has 2 exons.